GGAUCUGGAGGUGGAAAGGCCAAGAAGAAGAAGUGGUCGAAGGGAAAGGUCAGGGAUAAGCUUAACAACAUGGUGCUUUUCGACCAGGCCACCUACGACAAGCUCUACAAGGAGG
Molecule: small RNA, 115 nt
Filed under: Caenorhabditis elegans
Lineage: Eukaryota; Metazoa; Nematoda; Chromadorea; Rhabditida; Rhabditidae
Description: Unclassified non-coding RNA K02B2.39
Source: RNAcentral